AAUGAUCUCUCUCUCUCUCUCUCUCUCUCUCUCUCUCUCUCUCUCUCUCUCUCUCUCUCUUUUAUUUAUUUAUUUAUUUUUAUCUCAACUUAUAUUGUUUGUAUCUUUUGUGUGGUUUGAUAGCAGAGGUGUGGAUGAGCCUCCUCGAAACCAAAGUAUAGCGGUUUAUUAAUAAAUUCUUUAGGUAGAGAUUGGAUUGAUUUUUUGGUGUAUGUUGUCGCUCUUAAAUUGUUUUGAUCUUAAUUUGUGUCCAACCUGUUUUAGGUUGGAGUUGCAUUAUUUUUUGGAGUACCUUCGGGCAUCAACAAUUCAACAUGCAAGCUUAUUCUCAUCAGCAGCGGUGCACUGGUGCACUGGUGGUGGUGGAAUAGUCUCUCUCUGACUAACAAGGAGUGAAUGAUUGAAAAUUUAUUCUUCGGGUUUACUAUAUGAUUUAUCGAAUAAGAAAGUGCAGUUUUUGGGUAUGAGCUGCAUUCAGUUUUGCCCAUUGGUUCAAUUGCACUAAACGAGCCCACAGGUUUCAUGCGUCUUCUAAAAGUUAAGACCCUUGCGAGUAACACUGGGGGCAUGCGAAAACAUUGAUGUUUGCUCAUGUGAGUCCCGAAGUAGAUUCGUUCAGGGAGACAAUCAGUACUUUGAAGUUUGCUCAGAGAGCCUCGAUGUGGAACUUGGUGCAGCUCGUAUGAACAAGGAUAGCACCAAGGUUAAGGCACUCAAAGAACAGAUUGAGAGCCUAAAGAAGGCAUUGGCUAACAAAGAAGCACGAAGCGGACAACCAAAUGAGCCAAGAUCUCCACUUGAGAAACAAGCAAUGAAUGAACGUACUCCUCCACACUCCCGAAGGCUAUGCAUUG
Rhododendron vialii is the source of this 854-nucleotide long non-coding RNA. RefSeq lists it as uncharacterized. The transcript has 4 exons. The record is from RefSeq and is a predicted model, not a curated record. NCBI's taxonomy places the organism in Eukaryota, Viridiplantae, Streptophyta, Magnoliopsida, Ericales, Ericaceae.